RNAcentral lists this ribosomal RNA (372 nucleotides) under uncultured bacterium. RNAcentral describes it as "bacterial SSU rRNA". It matches the Rfam family "Bacterial small subunit ribosomal RNA", at positions 524 to 898 of the family's 1533-position model. The record is from RNAcentral.
UACGGAGGAUGCAAGCGUUAUCCGGAUUCAUUGGGUUUAAAGGGUGCGCAGGUGGGCUUGUAAGUCAGUGGUGAAAUGCUGCCGCUUAACGGUAGAAUUGCCAUUGAUACUGUGAGUCUUGAGUAUGGUUGAGGUAGGCGGAAUGUGCAGUGUAGCGGUGAAAUGCAUAGAUAUUGCACAGAACUCCGAUUGCGAAGGCAGCUUACUACGCCAUUACUGACGCUGAGGCACGAAAGCGUGGGGAGCGAACAGGAUUAGAAACCCUGGUAGUCCACGCCGUAAACGAUGUUCGCUCGCUGUUUGCGAUACACAGCAAGCGGCUGAGCGAAAGCAUUAAGUGAACCACCUGGGGAGUACGAUCGCAAGAUUAAA